This 90-nucleotide non-coding RNA is filed under the name Aurantiochytrium limacinum. Lineage: Eukaryota; Bigyra; Thraustochytrida; Thraustochytriidae. The record is from RNAcentral.
GGCCCUACAAAAGGGAACAAUGGUGCAGCUUGUCAGAUCUGCUGAACUUCCAGCAGAUCUGGAUGACCGAGUACAAGUCCAAGCCUUUCU